Molecule: long non-coding RNA, 223 nt
Filed under: Carica papaya (papaya)
Lineage: Eukaryota; Viridiplantae; Streptophyta; Magnoliopsida; Brassicales; Caricaceae
Description: long non-coding RNA (CPAP_LNC008560)
Source: RNAcentral
UCGGACAUAGCAAAUUCUUUCAGCAUUAGUUGCUUCAAUUGCUGCACUAGCUGAGAAUUUCCGCUAGUAAUGAGCAAAUCAUCAACAUAAAUCGAGACAAUAAGUUUCUUAUCAUCUUCAUAACUCUUCACAUAGCGAGUUGACUCAAUCUCACUUCUCAGAAAAAACAAGGUUGAUCAGAUGUGAAUCAAUCCUUAUAUAUGAGGUCCUAGGUGUCUGCUUG